GAUGAACGCUAGCGGCAGGCCUAACACAUGCAAGUCGAGGGGUAACAUAGAAAAGCUUGCUUUUCUGAUGACGACCGGCGCACGGGUGCGUAACGCGUAUACAACCUACCUUUUAGCGGGGAAUAGCCCAGGGAAACUUGGAUUAAUGCCCCAUAGUAUAUAGACUUCUCCUGAAGUUUAUAUUAAACAUUUAUGGCUAUUAGAUGGGUAUGCGUCCUAUUAGUUAGUUGGUAAGGUAACGGCUUACCAAGGCAGCGAUAGGUAGGGGUCCUGAGAGGGAGAUCCCCACACUGGUACUGAGACACGGACCAGACUCCUACGGGAGGCAGCAGUGAGGAAUAUUGGACAAUGGGCGAGAGCCUGAUCCAGCCAUGCCGCGUGCAGGAAGACUGCCCUAUGGGUUGUAAACUGCUUUUGCAGAGGAAGAACCACCCUCACGUGUGGGGGUUUGACGGUACUCUGCGAAUAAGGAUCGGCUAACUCCGUG
RNAcentral lists this ribosomal RNA (487 nucleotides) under uncultured bacterium. RNAcentral's name for it is "bacterial SSU rRNA". It matches the Rfam family "Bacterial small subunit ribosomal RNA", at positions 28 to 507 of the family's 1533-position model. The record is from RNAcentral.